UUGACCUCGGAUCAGGUAGGGAUACCCGCUGAACUUAAGCAUAUCAAUAAGCCGAG
Molecule: ribosomal RNA, 56 nt
Filed under: Cladosporium cladosporioides
Lineage: Eukaryota; Fungi; Ascomycota; Dothideomycetes; Cladosporiales; Cladosporiaceae
Description: partial 28S ribosomal RNA
Source: RNAcentral